CAGCCUGAAAUAAUUAUGUUUUAAGUUUAAUUAUGUUUGUGUUUCUUUUCUGACAUUUUUUUCUGGAGGUAGUUUUUGCCUUACUGACCUGAUUAGGCUA
Small nucleolar RNA from Pteronotus mesoamericanus, 100 nucleotides. RefSeq annotates it as small nucleolar RNA SNORD111. The transcript has a single exon. The record is from RefSeq and is a predicted model, not a curated record. NCBI's taxonomy places the organism in Eukaryota, Metazoa, Chordata, Mammalia, Chiroptera, Mormoopidae.